CUGACAUGGAAGCUCUCCCAGACUCAGAGAUUCAGCUUUCUCCAUCCCUGCUGCCCUGUCCAUCACUCCUCCAUAUCUCCUUCUUGGGAAUUAUGUUGUGGCUGUGAUUACAUCUAAGAUAUUGCCAGAGGGAGCUGCUAACAGAAGUGAAUGAGGCUUUGUGAGAGCAAAAGGCAAUGCAGGAUGGGAAUUCUCUUAAUCCACUCUCCUCCCGGCCAUUGUAAACCAUCCUCCAUCUCCUGGUCUGUACACCUGAUGCAAUCAGCUCUUCUCCCACUCUUGCUUCCUGACCCAAUCCACAAGACCAGGACAUCGCAGCUUGUGCAAGCAGUGAAACUACUGCAACUUGGUCACCUUUGUGUUCGCGCAGCUGGGAGAGAGAGCAGUUGGUUUUCAAUUUGAAAUAUCCUCCGAGUCUGAACAUUCAAGACAUAAUGGACUUGCCUGUCGGGCUGUAGGGGGCAUCAUCAGAACUUUUUCUUUUCUUUGAUCGUGAUUUGAACACUGGAUUAUCUUCGUCGGAUUCCAAAGAUGGGUAAACUAAACCAGGAACAAAAAAUAGCUUUUAUUGCAGCAGUAUUAAACAAGAGUUUGAGGCAA
Long non-coding RNA from Mauremys reevesii (Reeves's turtle), 600 nucleotides. RefSeq lists it as uncharacterized. The transcript is spliced from 4 exons. NCBI's taxonomy places the organism in Eukaryota, Metazoa, Chordata, Testudines, Geoemydidae. The record is from RefSeq and is a predicted model, not a curated record.